Ciona intestinalis (vase tunicate) is the source of this 194-nucleotide non-coding RNA. Lineage: Eukaryota; Metazoa; Chordata; Ascidiacea; Phlebobranchia; Cionidae. The record is from RefSeq and is a predicted model, not a curated record.
AGUGAUGACGUAACAGAAGAACCUGCUUCAAUAUGGGUAUAUGUGACGUCACAGAGAAAUCCGCCAUCGCGAGAAUUGCGUUCAAGAUGGAAAAAGACGAGAAAAAAAGCGCAAGACGAAGAACAAAGACGAAGACGCCAAUAUAAGGAUGCCGGUUUGAGGUGUUUGUAGGCUUAAGUGUGUAUAGGCCUACU